Molecule: long non-coding RNA, 754 nt
Organism: Gossypium raimondii (Peruvian cotton)
Lineage: Eukaryota; Viridiplantae; Streptophyta; Magnoliopsida; Malvales; Malvaceae
Exons: 2
Source: RefSeq, a predicted model, not a curated record
AUUAAGUGAAAAUAAAAGAGUGCACCGAAUGUCCACAGAAUUGGAGGGACUAAUUGCGUAAAAUGCCCAUUAAGACAAAAAUGUGCAGCUCUCCAAGCUUUCAAACGGCACAGUUUAAAAUCUUAUAUAAAUAGAAAAAAUAAAACCCUAAAAAGAGAAAUCAGCCCCCAUUUCUUUCUUCCCUUUUUUUUAAAAACUGAAGAUCCCAAAUCCCCUCAACCCCUUUUCUCGGCCGCUCCUAAUCGUCGCCAUGGCCGGUGGCCGGCGCCGCGCGACGGCAUCCCCGAUCCGCGCAUUUGAGGCAUAUUCAGAGCACCUGAACUUUGAAAAGGGAAGUUGAGGAGAAAACACGGUCUUUGGCCCCCUCUCGAGCCCGAAUCCGACGACGGCAAUGGACCAUCGCCGGCCGUUCAAGGGCCGAUUCAGGGAGUGGUUGGCCGGUGGCAGAGUUGGUGGCAUUGGUAGGCAUGGCAGAGGCUAGGGCGGCGGCUAGGGUUAUGGAGGCUAGGUUUUUGUUUUGUUUUUUUUUUCUGAUUUGGUUUAGGGUGUUUUGCGCUAGGGUUAGGUUAUUGGGCUUGUGGGUAUUGGGUUAGUGUUAGGUUUUGGGUCUGCUGGAAAUGGGUUGGGUAUUGGGUUCUUUUGGUUUUGUUAUUGUUUUAUUUGUUGGGCCCGGGCAAAAUUUGAAUCUUACAAAAUUAUCCAGACCUAAAUAAUAAUAAUAAUAAUAAUAAACCACAUCUUUGUUUUCACGAAA